Molecule: long non-coding RNA, 770 nt
Organism: Myotis myotis
Lineage: Eukaryota; Metazoa; Chordata; Mammalia; Chiroptera; Vespertilionidae
Exons: 3
Source: RefSeq, a predicted model, not a curated record
AUGAACUGCGUCUCGGUUCACACGUCUGGAGGAAAUAGUAGAAUAAUUCAACAAUCCAGUGAUUCCAAGCUUCGAGGCACAGAAAGGAAUCUUCCCACAGUACGCACAGUGUGGAUGCUGUGGCCACAGGUGUUCACUAAAAGUUAUUGAGUUGAAAAAUUGCCUGGAAGCCAGAAAGUGCCCUUCCUGGUGGAAUUCGGAACAGGUUGGAUUUGCUGCAUUUCAUGCCAGAUAAAUUACUGAAAAUUGAAGCACAGCUACAGGUAAAAUGACUAUGGAAGCACUCGCCACAGCCAAAUUCCCCCAACUCCAUCAACAACAACAAGAAAGAAAUGGCAAGGUAUUUAUUAACAGCUGAGCAGUCUAGCUUUGCUCCGGUCAGCUUCGGGUAGGAACUGAGUCAUCUCAGAUGGGACUUCUCCUGGCCAUUUAACACUCAAGGAAACUCAAUAAUCAAGUGACAUGAUUUAAUUUAUGACCAUUUUGAAAUUUUUCUUUCUAAUCUGUGUUGCAUCCAGUCACUCACAGAUUGAUUUUUAAGAGUUAACAUUCCACUAAAUCCAGUUUUCUUUAGGCUCUUAUUUGUAUACUCAUGACAAGUAAUGAAGUGGAUACACUUAGUUGAGGAAUAUUAAAAAACUUGUGUGAUUAUGUGUUUUGUUUUUCUCUUGGGUUGGUGACACAUUUCUAGUCUUCUAAGCUUACAUCACCUAAGAAGAACCAAUAACAUGUUCUAGCCUCCACUUAUUUUCUUAAUAGCCACAGGCUAC